UUAACUAUUAGAAUAGUACUCAGACUGCAAAAAUUCAAGAGUUAGGCCUCUGACAGACACGACCCAGCCGAAGCCGGAGGCCUGCCAAAGCAACAGAGUUAGGUAUACAAAGGGUGAGAAUCUAGCUCGUGCGAGCCGUCAAUUCUUUAAUGAUCCUUCCGCAGGUUCCGCUAAGUCCCAGCCGUUGCCAGCCAGGGCGGACUCUAUCUUAAGCGCUGAACUAGCAGCACCCACGCUCAUUGAGCCUCUAAACCGUCUCCCGGGUAAGAGGAGCGGGCUGUGGAUUUCCCCUAAGGGCCUUCCCACAAAUUGAGCGUGUCGCCUCUGAAAGAGACUAGCAGGGCAAGCCUGCUGUGGUAGGCAAAACUGCAGAUACCUACGGAAA
This 385-nucleotide unclassified non-coding RNA is filed under the name uncultured fungus. RNAcentral's name for it is "sequence contains ITS1". Lineage: Eukaryota; Fungi. The record is from RNAcentral.